UAUAUAUAUCCUCUAAAGAACAAAAAAUUAAAAGGAGAAUCUUGUACUAUAUAUUGAAAUACUGUGUGUCCAUUAGUAUAAAAGCUGUGAGAGAGAGUUAAGCCGCAUGGCAGCGAGCUUCUCAAGAUACCUCCGAUUGGUUUUUUAGAAAGGGAUAGACCAUCUGAAUCUGACCCUAGCAGUCAGUGGCGAGCCAACCGCAGAAGUGAACGGAUCAAGAGCCCGGUGUGGCCAGCCGUGGCAUCUUUGGAACCAGCAUCAUCCUGUACCUUCAAUUGUGAUAUAGAUAAGAACACACGUAAACCUACCCGGGUAGUGAAAAGAACAUACUCUAAGAAACACACACACACACACACACACAUCAAGGACUUCCAUGGACUUCUUUAUUUGAGUUUUGAUUUUAUUGUGCGCUGUGCACUCAGGAAGCCGGUUUAGGUAGGCAGGGACUAUAAAGAACUGUCAUUCAUUUGGUAUAAUACAAUGUUUAAAUUUA
This is a long non-coding RNA of Tachysurus fulvidraco (yellow catfish), 493 nucleotides long. RefSeq lists it as uncharacterized. The transcript has 2 exons. Lineage: Eukaryota; Metazoa; Chordata; Actinopteri; Siluriformes; Bagridae. The record is from RefSeq and is a predicted model, not a curated record.